GAGAAGAGAGUGGCUACUCUUAAUUUACAUUAUUAUUAUAUGCUUAUGUUCAUACAGUAUUUUGUAAGGUUAACUUCAGUUGAAAAAUAGUAAUUUUGUGAAUAAACUAUAUUUGUUGUUUUUCAGAGAGGCCAAUCACCACUUUUACUCGUCAUAAAGAAAAACAGAAAGAUGAUGGUAGAAUUUUUUAUUAAGAAUAAAGCAAACAUACAUGAAGUUGAUGAUAAGGGAAGAAUAGCCCUCAUGUUGGCUGUGGAACAUAAAUCAACACACAUAGCUGAGCUUCUUCUUCAAUGUGGUGUUAAUGUGUCUGCUUCAGAUAAUUGUGGAGAUUGCCUUGUCUUAUGCCAUUGCUAGUGGAAAUACUGCAAACAGAAAUUUAAUUCUUCAACACAUGAAAGCACAAUCUAGAACAUCAGUAAAUUUCAAUCCAG
This is a non-coding RNA of Ictidomys tridecemlineatus (thirteen-lined ground squirrel), 434 nucleotides long. NCBI's taxonomy places the organism in Eukaryota, Metazoa, Chordata, Mammalia, Rodentia, Sciuridae. The record is from RefSeq and is a predicted model, not a curated record.